GCGCAUUUGGUCUAGUGGUAUGAUUCUCGCUUUGGGUGCGAGACAUCCCGAGUUCGAUUCUCGGAAUGCCCC
RNAcentral lists this transfer RNA (72 nucleotides) under Salvia splendens (bonfire salvia). It matches the Rfam family "tRNA". Rfam says of the family: Transfer RNA (tRNA) molecules are approximately 80 nucleotides in length. Their secondary structure includes four short double-helical elements and three loops (D, anti-codon, and T loops). Further hydrogen bonds mediate the characteristic L-shaped molecular structure. tRNAs have two regions of fundamental functional importance: the anti-codon, which is responsible for specific mRNA codon recognition, and the 3' end, to which the tRNAs corresponding amino acid is attached (by aminoacyl-tRNA synthetases). tRNAs cope with the degeneracy of the genetic code in two manners: having more than one tRNA (with a specific anti-codon) for a particular amino acid; and 'wobble' base-pairing, i.e. permitting non-standard base-pairing at the 3rd anti-codon position. Lineage: Eukaryota; Viridiplantae; Streptophyta; Magnoliopsida; Lamiales; Lamiaceae. The record is from Rfam by way of RNAcentral.